This 72-nucleotide transfer RNA is filed under the name Podarcis liolepis (Columbretes wall lizard). RNAcentral's name for it is "tRNA-Gln". Lineage: Eukaryota; Metazoa; Chordata; Lepidosauria; Squamata; Lacertidae. The record is from RNAcentral.
UUAGAAGAAUGGGAUUUGAACCCACACCUAAGACACCAAAACUCUUCGUACUACCACUUAUACUAUCUACUA